AGAGUUUGAUCUUGGCUCAGGAUGAACGCUGGCGGCGUGCCUAAUACAUGCAAGUCGAACGCUUUGUGCUUAAUUGAUAUGAUGAGCUUGCUCUGAUUUGAUUUUUUGAUUUCAAAGAGUGGCGAACGGGUGAGUAACACGUGGGUAACCUACCUCUUAGCAGGGGAUAACAUUUGGAAACAAGUGCUAAUACCGUAUAAUACCAACAACCGCAUGGUUGUUGGUUGAAAGAUGGUUCUGCUAUCACUAAGAGAUGGGCCCGCGGUGCAUUAGCUAGUUGGUAAGGUAAUGGCUUACCAAGGCAAUGAUGCAUAGCCGAGUUGAGAGACUGAUCGGCCACAAUGGGACUGAGACACGGCCCAUACUCCUACGGGAGGCAGCAGUAGGGAAUCUUCCACAAUGGGCGCAAGCCUGAUGGAGCAACGCCGCGUGUGUGAUGAAGGGUUUCGGCUCGUAAAACACUGUUAUAAGAGAAGAACGGCACUGAGAGUAACUGUUCAGUGUGUGACGGUAUCUUACCAGAAAGGAACGGCUAAAUACGUGCCAGCAGCCGCGGUAAUACGUAUGUUCCAAGCGUUAUCCGGAUUUAUUGGGCGUAAAGCGAGCGCAGACGGUUAUUUAAGUUUGAAGUGAAAGCCCUCAGCUCUAACUGAGGAAUUGCUUUGGAAACUGGAUGACUUGAGUGCAGUAGAGGAAAGUGGAACUCCAUGUGUAGCGGUGAAAUGCGUAGAUAUAUGGAAGAACACCAGUGGCGAAGGCGGCUUUCUGGACUGUAACUGACGUUGAGGCUCGAAAGUGUGGGUAGCAAACAGGAUUAGAUACCCUGGUAGUCCACACCGUAAACGAUGAGUGCUAGAUGUUCGAGGGUUUCCGCCCUUGAGUGUCGCAGCU
This 891-nucleotide ribosomal RNA is filed under the name uncultured bacterium. RNAcentral describes it as "bacterial SSU rRNA". It matches the Rfam family "Bacterial small subunit ribosomal RNA", at positions 8 to 853 of the family's 1533-position model. The record is from RNAcentral.